This 1371-nucleotide ribosomal RNA is filed under the name uncultured bacterium. Its description in RNAcentral is "bacterial SSU rRNA". It matches the Rfam family "Bacterial small subunit ribosomal RNA", at positions 28 to 1381 of the family's 1533-position model. The record is from RNAcentral.
GAUGAACGCUGGCGGCGUGCCUAAUACAUGCAAGUCGAGCGAACGGACGAGAAGCUUGCUUCUCUGAUGUUAGCGGCGGACGGGUGAGUAACACGUGGAUAACCUACCUAUAAGACUGGGAUAACUUCGGGAAACCGGAGCUAAUACCGGAUAAUAUUUUGAACCGCAUGGUUCAAAAGUGAAAGACGGUCUUGCUGUCACUUAUAGAUGGAUCCGCGCUGCAUUAGCUAGUUGGUAAGGUAACGGCUUACCAAGGCAACGAUGCAUAGCCGACCUGAGAGGGUGAUCGGCCACACUGGAACUGAGACACGGUCCAGACUCCUACGGGAGGCAGCAGUAGGGAAUCUUCCGCAAUGGGCGAAAGCCUGACGGAGCAACGCCGCGUGAGUGAUGAAGGUCUUCGGAUCGUAAAACUCUGUUAUUAGGGAAGAACAUAUGUGUAAGUAACUGUGCACAUCUUGACGGUACCUAAUCAGAAAGCCACGGCUAACUACGUGCCAGCAGCCGCGGUAAUACGUAGGUGGCAAGCGUUAUCCGGAAUUAUUGGGCGUAAAGCGCGCGUAGGCGGUUUUUUAGUCUGAUGUGAAAGCCCACGGCUCAACCGUGGAGGGUCAUUGGAAACUGGAAAACUUGAGUGCAGAAGAGGAAAGUGGAAUUCCAUGUGUAGCGGUGAAAUGCGCAGAGAUAUGGAGGAACACCAGUGGCGAAGGCGACUUUCUGGUCUGUAACUGACGCUGAUGUGCGAAAGCGUGGGGAUCAAAUAGGAUUAGAUACCCUGGUAGUCCACGCCGUAAACGAUGAGUGCUAAGUGUUAGGGGGUUUCCGCCCCUUAGUGCUGCAGCUAACGCAUUAAGCACUCCGCCUGGGGAGUACGACCGCAAGGUUGAAACUCAAAGGAAUUGACGGGGACCCGCACAAGCGGUGGAGCAUGUGGUUUAAUUCGAAGCAACGCGAAGAACCUUACCAAAUCUUGACAUCCUUUGACAACUCUAGAGAUAGAGCCUUCCCCUUCGGGGGACAAAGUGACAGGUGGUGCAUGGUUGUCGUCAGCUCGUGUCGUGAGAUGUUGGGUUAAGUCCCGCAACGAGCGCAACCCUUAAGCUUAGUUGCCAUCAUUAAGUUGGGCACUCUAAGUUGACUGCCGGUGACAAACCGGAGGAAGGUGGGGAUGACGUCAAAUCAUCAUGCCCCUUAUGAUUUGGGCUACACACGUGCUACAAUGGACAAUACAAAGGGCAGCGAAACCGCGAGGUCAAGCAAAUCCCAUAAAGUUGUUCUCAGUUCGGAUUGUAGUCUGCAACUCGACUACAUGAAGCUGGAAUCGCUAGUAAUCGUAGAUCAGCAUGCUACGGUGAAUACGUUCCCGGGUCU